This 22-nucleotide non-coding RNA is filed under the name Arabidopsis thaliana (thale cress). Lineage: Eukaryota; Viridiplantae; Streptophyta; Magnoliopsida; Brassicales; Brassicaceae. The record is from RNAcentral.
GUAGCACUCAUUGGUGUGAUGA